RNAcentral lists this long non-coding RNA (252 nucleotides) under Prunus persica (peach). RNAcentral describes it as "long non-coding RNA (PPER_LNC003580)". Lineage: Eukaryota; Viridiplantae; Streptophyta; Magnoliopsida; Rosales; Rosaceae. The record is from RNAcentral.
AGGAAGUGUAAUUUGCAUUCCAGUAGUGCAAUUGACAAUCAAAGUAGUCCCAACUACUUGAUACACAUGCCUUUGCAUUGUCAAUAAGCUAACUCACCUCUCCUUCAGCUAACUUUAGCAUCGAAGGGCCUUCAACCGAUACCACACUAGAACCUUAGGUCUCACCUAUUUUCUUCUCUCUUUAGCAUAGAUUCAGCAUUACCGACGAAGAGAGAGCGUUUACUAAAGGCAGAUCUGAUCCCUCGAUCAUUC